GGGAAACCUGAUCCAUUAAUGCCGCGUGAGUGAAGAAGGCCUUCGGGUUGUAAAGCUCUUUUGUCAGGAAAGAAACAGCAGCUCUAAUACAGUUUGCGAAUGACGGUACCUGAAGAAUAAGCACCGGCUAACUACGUGCCAGCAGCCGCGGUAAUACGUAGGGUGCAAGCGUUAAUCGGAAUUACUGGGCGUAAAGCGUGCGCAGGCGGUUAUGUAAGACAGGCGUGAAAUCCCCGGGCUUAACCUGGGAAUUGCGCUUGUGACUGCAUAGCUAGAGUGUGUCAGAGGGGGGUAGAAUUCCACGUGUAGCAGUGAAAUGCGUAGAUAUGUGGAGGAAUACCAAUGGCGAAGGCAGCCCCCUGGGAUAACACUGACGCUCAUGCACGAAAGCGUGGGGAGCAAACAGGAUUAGAUACCCUGGUAGUCCACGCCCUAAACGAUGCUGACUAGUUGUUCGGGAAUUUAUUCCUGAGUAACGUAGCUAACGCGUGAAGUCAGCCGCCUGGGGAGUACGGUCGCAAGAUUAAAACUCAAAGGAAUUGACGGGGACCCGCACAAGCGGUGGAUGAUGUGGAUUAAUUCGAUGCAACGCGAAAAACCUUANCUAACCUUGACAUGCCACUAACGAAGUAGAGAUACAUUAGGUGCCCGUAAGGGAAAG
Molecule: ribosomal RNA, 661 nt
Filed under: uncultured bacterium
Lineage: Bacteria
Description: bacterial SSU rRNA
Rfam family: Bacterial small subunit ribosomal RNA
Source: RNAcentral